AGUCGAACGGAGCAUUUCGGUGCUUAGUGGCGGACGGGUGAGUAACGCGUGAGAAUCUGCCCUUUGGAUGGGGACAACAGUUGGAAACGACUGCUAAUACCCGAUGAGCCGAGAGGUAAAAGAUUAAUUGCCAAAGGAUGAGCUCGCGUCCGAUUAGUUAGUUGGUGAGGUAAAGGCUCACCAAGGCAGCGAUCGGUAGCUGGUCUGAGAGGAUGAUCAGCCACACUGGAACUGAGACACGGUCCAGACUCCUACGGGAGGCAGCAGUGGGGAAUUUUCCGCAAUGGGCGCAAGCCUGACGGAGCAAGACCGCGUGGGGGAUGAAGGUUUGUGGAUUGUAAACCCCUUUUGACAGGGAAGAUGAUGACGGUACCUGUCGAAUCAGCCUCGGCUAACUCCGUGCCAGCAGCCGCGGUAAUACGGAGGAGGCAAGCGUUAUCCGGAAUUAUUGGGCGUAAAGCGUCCGUAGGUGGUUGUACAAGUCUUUUGUCAAAGCGCGAGGCUUAACUUCGUAAGGGCAGGAGAAACUGUAGAGCUAGAGUGCGGUAGGGGUAGAGGGAAUUCCCAGUGUAGCGGUGAAAUGCGUAGAUAUUGGGAAGAACACCGGUGGCGAAAGCGCUCUACUGGGCCUGCACUGACACUGAGGGA
Molecule: ribosomal RNA, 648 nt
Filed under: uncultured bacterium
Lineage: Bacteria
Description: bacterial SSU rRNA
Rfam family: Bacterial small subunit ribosomal RNA
Source: RNAcentral